Molecule: ribosomal RNA, 253 nt
Filed under: uncultured bacterium
Lineage: Bacteria
Description: partial 16S ribosomal RNA
Rfam family: Bacterial small subunit ribosomal RNA
Source: RNAcentral
UACAGAGGUCCCAAGCGUUGUUCGGAUUCACUGGGCUUAAAGGGUGCGUAGGUGGUGAGGUAAGUCCGAUGUGAAAGCUCCGAGCUCAACUCGGAAAUUGCAUUAGAAACUACCUUGCUAGAGGGUUGGAGGGGGGACUGGAAUUCUCGGUGUAGCAGUGAAAUGCGUAGAUAUCGAGAGGAACACCAGUGGCGAAGGCGAGUCCCUGGACAACUCCUGACACUGAGGCACGAAAGCUAGGGGAGCAAACAGG